AUGGAGUGGAACAAGCUAGCGCAUCCAUUUCUUGCCUUUUACCAGAGAUGACCGUGGCUCAUGUCCAUAAUACCCCAUUCAUCAAAUCUUUGGAAUCAAACUUCUCAGAUC
This 111-nucleotide small nuclear RNA is filed under the name Pseudogymnoascus sp. VKM F-4513 (FW-928). RNAcentral's name for it is "U5 spliceosomal RNA". It matches the Rfam family "U5 spliceosomal RNA". Rfam says of the family: U5 RNA is a component of both types of known spliceosome. The precise function of this molecule is unknown, though it is known that the 5' loop is required for splice site selection and p220 binding, and that both the 3' stem-loop and the Sm site are important for Sm protein binding and cap methylation. Lineage: Eukaryota; Fungi; Ascomycota; Leotiomycetes; Thelebolales; Thelebolaceae. The record is from Rfam by way of RNAcentral.